ACUAGCCCGCUACCCAGAUAAUCUAAAACCAAUUCACUAACCCAAAACAUUUUUCGAGCUAAGUAUAGGAGAUAGAAAAGAACCCCAGGAGCUAUAGAGACAGUACCGCAAGGGAAAGUUUAAAAUACCAAGUUAAAUAAAGCAAAGAUAGACCCUUGUACCUUUUGAAUAAUGGUUUAACUAGUCCAAACAAGCUAAAAGAGCUAAGCUUUUUACCCCGAAAUCAAGUGAGCUACUUAUAAGCGUACAGAAAUAAUUCGGCUCUGUGGCAAAAGAGCGAAAAGACUAAUAAGUAGAGGCGAAACACCUACCGAACAUGAAGAUAGCUGGUUACUUAUUAAACGAAUCUAAGUUCUACCUUAACUCACCCAACCCUCCUUAAACAAAGAGAAAUGAAAGAUUUAAGAGAUAUUUAAUAGGGGUACAGCCCUAUUAAAAUAGGAAACAGCCUAUACAAGAGGAAAGAGAAUUACACCAGACCGUAGGCCUUAAAGCAGCCACCAAAAUAUAAAGCGUUAAAGCUAAUUAACACCAACACCAACCUUUUUAAUCCAACCCUAAACAACAAUAAGUCAUACUAUAAUAAUAUAACAGAAUUAAUGUUAAAAUGAGUAACAAGAAAAAGAUUUCUCCGUGCAUCCGCAUAAGCCAGACUAGACAACCUACUGGUCAUUACACAAUAAUUAAUAUUACACAACGAGCAAUAAUAUUAAUCUAACUGUUAACCCAACACAGGCAUGCACCUAGGAAAGAUUAAACUCACCAGAAGGAACUCGGCAACACCGGGCCCCGACUGUUUACCAAAAACAUAACCUUUAGCUAAUCAAGUAUUAAAGGCGCCUCCUGCCCAGUGAAAAUUAAACGGCCGCGGUAUUCUGACCGUGCAAAGGUAGCGUAAUCAAUUGUCUCCUAAAUGAAGACUAGUAUGAACGGAGAAACGAGGGCCCAACUGUCUCCUGGCGAAAAUCAGUGAAAUUGAUCCCCUUGUGCAAAAGCAAGGAUAAAACCAUAAGACGAUAAGACCCCGUGGAGCUUAAACAUCAGAGUCAAUUAUACAUGUUGAAUCCACCAGGAAUAAAAUCAAAAAAUGACCCCCUCUGUUUUGGCUGGGGCGGCCUCGGAAUAAAAAAAAACUUCCGAAAACCUCAUUUAGACCAACAAGUCAAAACAUAAAAUACUUGACCCAAUAUUAUUGAUUAUUGAACCAAGUUACCCCAGGGAUAACAGCGCCAUCCCCUUCGAGAGCCCAUAUCGACAAGGGAGAUUACGACCUCGAUGUUGGAUCAGGACAUCCUAGUGGUGCAACCGCUACUAAGGGUUCGUUUGUUCAACGAUUAACAGUCCUACGUGAUCUGAGUUCAGACCGGAGCAAUCCAGGUCGGUUUCUAUCUAUGACAUACUAUUUCCAGUACGAAAGGAUCGAAACAGUAGGGCAUAACCGCAAGCAAGCCCUGCCCUUAAUUAAUGAAACAAAAUAAAUUAAUUAACUGGGAUCUCCCCCACGCCCUAAACCAGGGCU
This 1519-nucleotide ribosomal RNA is filed under the name Sphenodon punctatus (tuatara). RNAcentral's name for it is "16S ribosomal RNA". It matches the Rfam family "Bacterial large subunit ribosomal RNA", at positions 424 to 2852 of the family's 2925-position model. The record is from RNAcentral. Lineage: Eukaryota; Metazoa; Chordata; Lepidosauria; Sphenodontia; Sphenodontidae.